Molecule: long non-coding RNA, 2906 nt
Organism: Cygnus olor (mute swan)
Lineage: Eukaryota; Metazoa; Chordata; Aves; Anseriformes; Anatidae
Exons: 5
Source: RefSeq, a predicted model, not a curated record
CAGAAAUAAUAGAAAAGGGUGUAAGCGAGGAAGUUAUGGCUCAGCAGUGAUGCUGUGCAGGGUCUCCUGUUGCAUCUUUGCAGAGCACUGAGGGGCUGCAGGGCAGUGCCUGCCUCAAGCUGCAGUGCCUCAUGCUCCCCCUUUUCCUCCUCCUCCUCUCUCCUCAGGGCUGGCAGGAGGGUUUCUCUUUUUUUUCUGCUCACACCUUGCUGCUGGGCACCAUUUUGCUGUUCCUGACCCAUCUGCGCCAGAGGUGGUGCUGAGGGGGGCCAGGCUGUGCCCUGUGCUGGGGGCCACUGGAACCGGCCAGGACCUCUCCUCACAGGGCUCCGUGGCUGACACCCAGGCACCCACAACCAGCGCAGCUGCUGGUGAUAGACAGCAAAAAUCCUCUCAGAAUUUUCCCCCAAAGCACAGGAUAAGUGGAUUCUCAAAGGGGGCAUUUUCCAGGCUUGCCAAAUGACUCCCCUGCCCCACCACAGACCUGGCAGAGGCUGGAGGUCAUGGCUUGGGCCUGCAGUGCUCAGCAGGGAGUGGCGGCAGCCAUUUUGUGGAUAGGGCCAGCUUCUUGCGUCCUGCUCCUGCACGUUUCUCCAGGCUGACGUUAGGAUUUGGGAUGUGCCAAGACCUCUGUAACACAGCACGUGCAAAGGCAUGACUACAUCCCACUGUGAAAUGAGCUGUGGUAAAGUUCCCAGGCCUUGUCUAAUACUCUGACACCCCCUUCUCGAACAGGAAUGCUUCCUCUGAAGGCCCCGGUGCUGCAGCAAGAGGAGCAGUACACCCAGGCAUUGUCAUGGCUCCAAUUUGCUGGACUGUCAUCUUGCCUCUCAGCAGCAGCAAAAUUUCUGCAUAACAUCAUCUCACCCAAGACAAACAACCUCAUGAAGGGCCAGAUUUACCUCCUUGCUGGCACCUGCUAUGGCAGCAGCAAUGACAGAGAAGACAAAGUUGUUGUCCACUGUCGGUGCUGCAGUGAAUGGUGCUACCUGGAGUUCCUGGCAAGCCGCUUCUGGAAAGUCUCACAGUACCAGUUCUGGGUUGAACAAUGUGCUCCAGUGAGCAGCACCCCACCAUAGGCAUGACUGGAGUGAGAAGCUUUACCAAGAGAACGCCACUGUUCAGCAUAAAUAGCUGUAAUGCUAUUCGGAAUGGGAUUACUUGUCCACUCUUCUGGAAGAAAUGCAGCAGCAAAGCAAGAAAACGAAAAACUCAGUGACGACUGCACAUCUUCCCCAAAGCGUUAUCUCAGAAAGGGCAACACAUAAGCCCCUAAAGGCUCUUUUUGCUCAAGAAAAGAGGCCCUGCCGUGCGGCUGGGUAAAACAGGGUUCUUCACCUACCCUCGCGCUGACUCAGAAAGAUCAAACCCUAGUACCUGGAACGCAGUGGUUCCUUGUACAUUUGUUUUUCCUUCUUGUAAAUUGGUUCUUUUGACAGAAGAAAAGAAGAUGAAUCUAUGUGCUUUCUUUUGCUUAUAUCUAUCAUUUGCUUUUUAUUAUUUUUAGAAAAAAAUAUUCUAAAUUCCUUUAUAUUGGAUACUUUGAGCUGCAUCUUGCAUCAAAUACUAGAAAAUCCUAUCCUAAAAAUGCCCUACCCAUUCCACAGCAAGUUACUGUGGAUAACUUGGCUGUAAUUGGGCAUGAACUUGGAGGCCCAGUAUGGCUUGGGCCAGGACCCCCUGUUAGGGGUGCGUGGUGCACCCGGGCAGGGCCAUCAGUGUCCUCCAAGCCCUGGCAUCACCCCAGUUACACCAUGCUUUCCUCAGACAUCAAACCCAAUUCUUGUUAGGGACACCCAGCUGAAUCCAUAGAUUUCACACGUUACUCAGCUGCAACAAGAAAUGUAUACACAAGUAAAACAAGAAAUUAAACUUGGCUUAGGACAGUUUCCCCUCCCUUUUAUUUAUUUUUUGUCUUCGAUAAAAUAAAUGUAAACCUCCUUACUUACCUUAGUGUUCUCCACAAAAAAUUCAUUUUCUGUGGAUAUGAAUUAAAUAUUUUUUUUUUCAAAAAAGCUCCUUUAUGAAAACCAGGUUUAAAGAACACAAUUACUGCUGAAGAAACCCUACAGAAUGUGAAUACCAGUUUUGUGCAGAUUAAGAGACGGUAUUUCCUGAAGAAAUAGGCUACAGUUCCAAAUGCCAUGGAUUUUAGUGCUUUUUUUCAGAGUACCGCUAACAACUUUUCUAUCUGCAGAAGCAGGUAAGGAAACCAAGAGCAGCAGGGCUUGUGUGUCACAAGCACUCUGUGAUGCGUUCAGCACAAGAUUUAUACCAUUUGCAAGCCAUGAAUGUGGCCUAGGUCACCAACAAAAAUUUCCCAACCUCUCCGUUGAGAGGAAAAACUCCCUAUUGAGCUUUGUGAACAAGUGAACAGUCCUCAUUUGCAGUCCCUUAGAAAGAAGGGCUCUGCAACUAGAAUAUAUUACAGAAAUGUCAUGCAAAGCACAGAUGCUAAAAGGGCUCACAAGACAGAUGGUUCAAGACUUCUUUUGGAGUUGGCUGGAUUGUCUUUAACAAGAAAACAUUUUUCUGAAGGCUGGAAUGUUUUACUCAACAUUCCCCAGUUUUCUUGGGUCCAGGCUGCUUUGAUGUAGCAGGUUACAGGAAAGUUUCCUAGCGCUCUCUGCAAAGCAGUUCUAGCUCAGGUCUCCGCCAGGUAGUGCGUCUCAUCUUGGGCCACUUUCCUGUGGCAAGAUAGUGACUCUGCUCAGCACCCCUAUCACUACAGCAGAAACGCUGUGGCAAGUCAGAUCCGCACAUUAAUGCCUCCCACACUUACCUACCAUUGCUUGACCCAAAGAGCUCUUCCGAAAUCAAGGCACUGACACUGCCACCUGAGAGCCGGCCUUAAACCAUUCCUUUUCAGCCCAACACAGAAGAGAGCCACAGUGUUGGCACCAACA